Molecule: ribosomal RNA, 901 nt
Filed under: Ramularia glennii
Lineage: Eukaryota; Fungi; Ascomycota; Dothideomycetes; Mycosphaerellales; Mycosphaerellaceae
Description: eukaryotic LSU rRNA
Rfam family: Eukaryotic large subunit ribosomal RNA
Source: RNAcentral
CUGAACUUAAGCAUAUCAAUAAGCGGAGGAAAAGAAACCAACAGGGAUUGCCCUAGUAACGGCGAGUGAAGCGGCAACAGCUCAAAUUUGAAAUCUGGCGCAAGCCCGAGUUGUAAUUUGUAGAGGAUGCUUCUAGGUAGCGACCGGUCUAAGUUCCUUGGAACAGGACGUCAUAGAGGGUGAGAAUCCCGUAUGUGACUGGCCCGCACCUUCUACGUAGCUCCUUCGACGAGUCGAGUUGUUUGGGAAUGCAGCUCUAAAUGGGAGGUAAAUUUCUUCUAAAGCUAAAUACCGGCCAGAGACCGAUAGCGCACAAGUAGAGUGAUCGAAAGAUGAAAAGCACUUUGGAAAGAGAGUUAAAAAGCACGUGAAAUUGUUGAAAGGGAAGCGCUCACAACCAGACUUCUGGGCGGUGUUCCGCCGGUCUUCUGACCGGUCUACUCACCGUCCCGAGGCCAACAUCAUCUGGGACCGCCGGAUAAGACCUCAGGAAUGUAGCUCCCCUCGGGGAGUGUUAUAGCCUGUGGUGAUGCGGCGCGUCUCGGGUGAGGUCCGCGCUUCGGCAAGGAUGUUGGCGUAAUGGUUGUCAGCGGCCCGUCUUGAAACACGGACCAAGGAGUCUAACAUCUAUGCGAGUGUUCGGGUGUCAAACCCCUACGCGUAAUGAAAGUGAACGGAGGUGGGAAGGGUAACCUGCACCAUCGACCGAUCCUGAUGUCCUCGGAUGGAUUUGAGUAAGAGCAUAGCUGUUGGGACCCGAAAGAUGGUGAACUAUGCCUGAAUAGGGUGAAGCCAGAGGAAACUCUGGUGGAGGCUCGCAGCGGUUCUGACGUGCAAAUCGAUCGUCAAAUUUGGGUAUAGGGGCGAAAGACUAAUCGAACCAUCUAGUAGCUGGGUCCUG